AUUGAACGCUGGCGGCAGGCUUAACACAUGCAAGUCGAGCGGGGUGAUGGUGCUUGCACUAUCACUUAGCGGCGGACGGGUGAGUAAUGCUUAGGAAUCUGCCUAUUAGUGGGGGACAACAUCUCGAAAGGGAUGCUAAUACCGCAUGUGGUAUCUUGGCUGCAUGGCUGCGAUAAGAAAGAUGGCCUCUGAGUAUGCUAUCGUUUAGAGAUGGGUCUGCGUCUGAUUAGCUGGUUGGUGAGGUAAAGGCUCACCAAGGCGACGAUCAGUAGCCGGUCUGAGAGGAUGAACGGCCGCACUGGGACUGAGGCACGGCCCAGACGCCUACGGGAGGCAGCAGUGGGGAAUCUUCCGCAAUGGACGAAAGUCUGACGGAGCAACGCCGCGUGAGUGAAGAAGGCCUUCGGGUCGUAAAGCUCUGUCGUUUGGGACGAACGUGCUUUGUGUAAAUAAUGCAAAGUAAUGACGGUACCAAAGGAGGAAGCCACGGCUAACUACGUGCCAGCCGCCGCGGUAA
This 517-nucleotide ribosomal RNA is filed under the name uncultured bacterium. RNAcentral describes it as "partial 16S ribosomal RNA". It matches the Rfam family "Bacterial small subunit ribosomal RNA", at positions 30 to 523 of the family's 1533-position model. The record is from RNAcentral.